This 373-nucleotide RNase P RNA is filed under the name Anaerobiospirillum succiniciproducens. RNAcentral describes it as "Bacterial RNase P class A". It matches the Rfam family "Bacterial RNase P class A". From Rfam's summary of the family: Ribonuclease P (RNase P) is a ubiquitous endoribonuclease, found in archaea, bacteria and eukarya as well as chloroplasts and mitochondria. Its best characterised activity is the generation of mature 5'-ends of tRNAs by cleaving the 5'-leader elements of precursor-tRNAs. Cellular RNase Ps are ribonucleoproteins. Lineage: Bacteria; Pseudomonadati; Pseudomonadota; Gammaproteobacteria; Aeromonadales; Succinivibrionaceae. The record is from RNAcentral.
AGUUGACUGGGCAAUCGCUGCUAGAACACGUGCGCUAAGGCAUACGGUUUUGGGGGAGGAAAGUCCGGGCUCCAUAGGACAGGGUGCCAGAUAACAUCUGGGGGGCGCGAGUCCACGACCAGUGCAACAGAGAGCAGACCGCCGAUGGCCUUAGGGCUCAGGUAAGGGUGAAAGGGUGCGGUAAGAGCGCACCGCGUUGCUAGCAAUAGUUAACGGCACGGUAAACUCCACCCGGAGCAAGAUCAAAUAGUCUUCCAUAGGGCGUGGUCCGCGCUGGGAAGCGGGUAGAUUGCUGGAGCUUAAGCGCGAGCUUAAGCCUAGAGGAAUGAUUGCCACUCGCAAGAGAACAGAACCCGGCUUAUAGGUCAACUCA